CCUACGGGUGGCAGCAGUGAGGAAUAUUGGUCAAUGGGCGCGAGCCUGAACCAGCCAAGUAGCGUGAAGGAUGACUGCCCUACGGGUUGUAAACUUCUUUUAUAAAGGAAUAAAUUGCGGCACGUGUCCCUUUUUGUAUGUUCUUUAUGAAUAAGGAUCGGCUAACGACGGGACAGCAGCCGACGUAAUACGGAGGGGCCGCACGUUAUCCGGAUUUAUUGGGGUUAAAGGGAGCGUAGAUGGGUUGUUAAGUCAGUCGUGAAAGUUUGCGGAGAAAACGUAAAAUUGCAAUUGAUACUGGCAGCCUUGAGUACAGUAGAGGUAGGCGGAAUUCGUGGUGUAGCGGUGAAAUGCUGAGAUAUCACGAAGAACUCCGAUUGCGAAGGCAGCCUACUAAACUGCCACUGACGUUGAUGCUCGAAAGUGUGGGGAUCAAACAGGAUUAGAUACCCCAGUAGUC
Molecule: ribosomal RNA, 460 nt
Filed under: uncultured bacterium
Lineage: Bacteria
Description: partial 16S ribosomal RNA
Rfam family: Bacterial small subunit ribosomal RNA
Source: RNAcentral